GNGUAAUUUUGAAAUACAAGGUAUUGUAAUAAGAUUUUAAUUGAAUGCUAAAAGAAUGGAAAUUUAAAAAAAAACUUUUUUAAAAAUAAAAAUUGAAUUUUUUUUAAUUUGUGCAAAAACAAUUAUUAUUAUUAAAGACAAGAAGACCCUAAGAAUUUAUGAUUUUGCAAUUAGAAUUUUUUUCAAAAAAUCUUGAUUGGGGCGAUCAAAAAAUAUUAAUAACUUUUUAAAUUUAAAUUGAUCUAUUAUUAAUAAACUAAUGAAUUAAAUACUCUAGGGAUAACAGCGUAAUAAUUUUUGAUAGAUCUUAUUGAUAAAAUAGUUUGUGAUUUCGAUGUUGGAUUAGGAUCCUUUUUUAAAGAAUAAUUAAAAAAACAUUGUAGAUUCAAAUUAAUAUUCCUAUUUAAUUAUUAAUUGAACCGAUCAAA
Molecule: ribosomal RNA, 428 nt
Filed under: Hyalomma detritum detritum
Lineage: Eukaryota; Metazoa; Arthropoda; Arachnida; Ixodida; Ixodidae
Description: partial 16S ribosomal RNA
Source: RNAcentral